RNAcentral lists this ribosomal RNA (1043 nucleotides) under Paphia vernicosa. RNAcentral's name for it is "eukaryotic LSU rRNA". It matches the Rfam family "Eukaryotic large subunit ribosomal RNA", at positions 97 to 954 of the family's 3401-position model. The record is from RNAcentral. Lineage: Eukaryota; Metazoa; Mollusca; Bivalvia; Venerida; Veneridae.
AGCGGGAAGAGCCCAGCACCAAAUCUCCCGUCCGUUUCAGCGGUGAUAAAUGCGUUGUAUAGGCGGCCGAUUGUCGCCGGCGUCGAGCGCUCAAGUCCUCCUGAUUGUGACUACCCAGAGCGGGUCUCAGGCCCUUGCAGCGCCAGACCCGGCGGCUUCGAGCUCCUCGGAGUCGGGUUGUUUGAGGAUGCAGCCCAAAGCGGGUGGUAAACUCCCCCUAAGGCUGAACACUAGCACCGAUAGCGGUCAAGUACCGUAAGGAAAAGCUGAAAAGAACUGAUGAGAGAGUUCAACAGUACGUGAAACCGCAUAGAGUCAAACGGGUGGAUCCGCAGAGUGGACGCGAUGAAUUCAGCCCGGCCUAUGGUGGCCCGUCGGUGUGCCGGGGAUGCCUUAGCGGGUCCUCGCCCCGGCGUACGGCUCGCCGCUCUGGCCGGGUGCACUUUCUCAGCUGUCGAGCGCAACGAUCGAUUCUGCGGCGGUGAGGAGCCCGGCGCGCAAGGUAGCGCAGCCCUUCGAGGACAAGUGUUAUAGAUUGCCGUAGUGGACUCGCCGCGUGAUCGAGGACGCUUGUCGCGUCAGCCGGCUUCGGACAGUUAUGGGGUUCUCGACUUCGGACGCGCUGCUCCGCAUGGCGCUGAGACCGCACUCCGGACACGGGACCGUCCGCCGUGGACGCCUAUGUGUCAGUGGCGAAUCGGUCGUCCUCCGUCUUGAAACACGGACCAAUGAGUCUAACAUGUGCGCGAGUCAUGGGGUCAGUACGAAACAUAAAGGCGCAAUGAAAAAGAAGGAAUCCCCAGGAGUGGCCAGGCAGGAUCCCUCGGCCUCGGUCGGGGACGCACUGCCUGCCCGUCUCGGCUGCGUCGUACGCGAGGUGGAGCAAGAGCGCACACGUUGGGACCCGAAAGAUGGUGAACUAUGUCUGAGUAGGGCGAAUUCAGAGGAAACUCUGAUGGAGGCCCGCAGCGAUUCUGUCGUUCAUUCUGAUCGUCAAACUUGGAUAUAGGGGCGAAAGACUAAUCGAACCAUCUAGUAGCUGG